Coregonus clupeaformis (lake whitefish) is the source of this 500-nucleotide long non-coding RNA. RefSeq lists it as uncharacterized. The record is from RefSeq and is a predicted model, not a curated record. Lineage: Eukaryota; Metazoa; Chordata; Actinopteri; Salmoniformes; Salmonidae. The transcript is spliced from 3 exons.
GGGAACUAGGCUAAUGCUUGGUUAGCCACAUUGCUAACAGAUUCUUAGGUAACUUGCCUUGCUUGACCUUCAAUGCACUGAUGUUUAUGGCUACAGCAAGAUUCAACCCACCGAAAUACUCAAGCAAUACAAAGUAUAUUAAUCAAGUUAUUCGUCAGAAUCGAAUUGCCAUGGAAAUGUAAAAUGACAACAUUGAAACUGCGACAGAAACGAAGCUAGCGCCCUCUUCGUAUUGUAUAGAAAAUGAUAGCUACAGUAGCUAACGUUGACUACGUUACGAAACCACAGCAAUGGUGAACCAUCAUUGACCUACUGAUGUUACCAAACAAGAAUUCUAGGUGGGAAAUUAUGCAUUGUUUAUUCAGGAAGAGAGACGAAUGACGUUCGAUUGAAGAGACAUUCUUGAACAUAAAAGGCCAGAUGAACAACCUGACGCUAAGGACCAGGCCCAAAUCUCCCGGACCAGGCCCAAAUCCCGGUCAUUCGCAUGAAGAGGAGAC